Molecule: ribosomal RNA, 594 nt
Filed under: uncultured eukaryote
Lineage: Eukaryota
Description: partial 18S ribosomal RNA
Rfam family: Eukaryotic small subunit ribosomal RNA
Source: RNAcentral
UAGUCAUAUGCUUGUCUCAAAGAUUAAGCCAUGCAAGUCUAAGGGUAAAACACUGUUUACCGUAAACCUGCGAAUAGCUCAUUAAAUCAGUUAUAAUCUAUUUGAUAAUUUAAUUUCUUAACUGGAUAACCGUAGUAAUUCUAGAGCUAAUACAUGCAAAAAAUUCAGACUUUUCUCUUUUUGUAAAAGGAAAGGGGAAGGAAUGAAUGUAUUUAUUGGGUUAAAAAAAAUCAGUUUUUUGGGUUGGGGCAACUCAAUUCAAAAAAAACUUUAAAAAAUUUGGUGAAUCACAGUAAAUUUACGAAUCGAAUUUCUUUUUUUUAAAAGGGGAUUUGAUGAUACAAAUGAGUUUCUGACCUAUCAACUUUCGAUGGUAGUGUAUUGGACUACCAUGGUUAUGACGGGUAACGGAGAAUUUGGGUUUGAUUCCGGAGAAAAAGCCUGAGAGACGGCUAUUACUUCCAAGGAAGGCAGCAGGCGCGUAAAUUACCCAAUCCUAAUUCGGGGAGGUAGUGACAAGAAAUACUGAUAUUGAUCCCAACGGGAACAAUGAUUGGAAUGAGAACAAUUUAAAAAACUUAACGACUAACAAUU